UACAGAGGAUGCAAGCGUUAUCCGGAAUGAUUGGGCGUAAAGCGUCCGCAGGUGGCAGUUCAAGUCUGCUGUCAAAGACCGGGGCUUAACUUCGGAAAGGCAGUGGAAACUGGACAGCUAGAGUAUGGUAGGGGCAGAGGGAAUUCCUGGUGUAGCGGUGAAAUGCGUAGAGAUCAGGAAGAACAUCGGUGGCGAAGGCGCUCUGCUGGACCAUAACUGACACUCAGGGACGAAAGCUAGGGGAGCGAAUGGG
This 253-nucleotide ribosomal RNA is filed under the name uncultured bacterium. RNAcentral describes it as "partial 16S ribosomal RNA". It matches the Rfam family "Bacterial small subunit ribosomal RNA", at positions 524 to 776 of the family's 1533-position model. The record is from RNAcentral.